GUGUCAGCAGCCGCGGUAAGACGAACCGUGCAAACGUUGUUCGGAAUCACUGGGCUUAAAGGGCGCGUAGGCGGCUCAUCAAGUCGGGGGUGAAAUACUUCAGCUUAACUGGAGAAGUGCCUUCGAUACUGGUGGGCUUGAGGGAGGUAGGGGUCUUUGGAACUUCUGGUGGAGCGGUGAAAUGCGUUGAUAUCAGAAGGAACGCCGGUGGCGAAAGCGAAGGACUGGACCUCUUCUGACGCUGAGGCGCGAAAGCUAGGGGAGCAAACGGGAUUAGAUACCCCCGUAGUCC
RNAcentral lists this ribosomal RNA (292 nucleotides) under uncultured bacterium. Its description in RNAcentral is "partial 16S ribosomal RNA". It matches the Rfam family "Bacterial small subunit ribosomal RNA", at positions 505 to 796 of the family's 1533-position model. The record is from RNAcentral.